Molecule: long non-coding RNA, 986 nt
Organism: Triticum dicoccoides
Lineage: Eukaryota; Viridiplantae; Streptophyta; Magnoliopsida; Poales; Poaceae
Exons: 3
Source: RefSeq, a predicted model, not a curated record
AGGAGGAGCACGAAGAGCGCAUCCAUCCUAAUUUCCAGAACCAUUCUCCUUCAUCAAGCCAAGAUGGAGAGAAAUAUGGUGCCACAGAUUCAGGAACUCCUCCUCCUCAUGCCAUGCCAGAUUUCUCCAACGUCCCAUAUAUUGACGACAACAAAGAGACCUCGCCUGAAUUGCAUCCCACUCCAGUUCCGUGGACUCAAAGGGUCCGACUUGGCAAAAUUCAUGACAGCCGUGCCACAUUAUCGAGAAGGAGAAGUGCUUUGGAAAAGGCCGUGAGAAAUUACGCAGAUAAGAAGUCAGAGUUCGUCGUCAAGCCAGAGAUCAGUCAGGAAUUUGAUUCUUUGGCCGAUGCUUACGACUUCUACAACCUAUUCUUUGGCUGAAGUUCCAGAGGCCAUGCCAGACUUCUGGCCUUCCAACUCUGUGGCUGGGAAGAAAUUGUUAAAGGAAACUUAUCGGCAGCUGAUGGUUGCAUGGUGGCUUGGGUUACAAGAUCAGGCCACAACUGAGCUGCAUGACCAAGAUAUGCAUGUCAUACCAGGAGCAACUAUUCUAUCAAGCUCAAUGAAUGUAGUACCGCGCAAGAGGGAUCGAAGCAGGCCAAUGAACAUAAGAGAAAAGCUAGGUUAUGAUAAUGCCAGCAAGCCAAGAUCAAAGUUUUGUUCUAUUUGCAGAGGUAAGGGCCACAUCGCAUCCUAAUACCCCUCAAAGGGAGAUGUACCAAAGACACAAAGGAAAGCCCCAAGGUGUACAAAGUGUGGCCUUGCAGGCCAUGAGUGAAUUUCGUGCUCGAUAAGAAUGUUCAUUUUGUUGUCGGAAGAUGAAAUUGGUGUUACGAAAGAUGUUGUAGGCUUUCUUUUGUUGUGCUGUUUUGAAAGAUGAAAUUGGUGUUGUUGGCUUUCUUUUGUUGUCGAAAAUUAGGUUUAUGUUGUGGCCCAGUAGUGAAUAUGUAAACUCGGAAAUGUUAUCCGGAUGCGUAAAGUUAG